UACGUAGGGUGCGAGCGUUAAUCGGAAUUACUGGGCGUAAAGCGUGCGCAGGCGGUGGCUCAAGCCAGGCGUGAAAGCCCCGGGCUUAACCUGGGAAUGGCCGUUGAAACUGGCGAACUGGAGUGUGGCAGAGGGGGGUGGAAUUCCGCGUGUAGCAGUGAAAUGCGUAGAGAUGCGGAGGAACACCGAUGGCGAAGGCAGCCCCCUGGGCUGACACUGACGCUCAGGCACGAAAGCGUGGGGAGCAAACAGG
This 253-nucleotide ribosomal RNA is filed under the name uncultured bacterium. RNAcentral describes it as "partial 16S ribosomal RNA". It matches the Rfam family "Bacterial small subunit ribosomal RNA", at positions 524 to 776 of the family's 1533-position model. The record is from RNAcentral.